Non-coding RNA from Cricetulus griseus (Chinese hamster), 11716 nucleotides. The record is from RefSeq and is a predicted model, not a curated record. NCBI's taxonomy places the organism in Eukaryota, Metazoa, Chordata, Mammalia, Rodentia, Cricetidae.
AGGAAAACCCCGGCCCUGCUGUGAUCCUCAGAACCCUGGGAAUUGGCCGUGCCCCACGAACGGACCUCCAGGUCCCCUAACGCUCAAGGAGUCCUCAGUCAGUACGUUCAAAGAGAAAGUUUGGGGUUUGGCGAACCUUAAACAACUAAGCGAUGUAUGAUGUGUUAGAGACCUGCAACAGCGUCCAGAUGCUCCCUGAAUGCGGAGACAAGCCACUCACGCUACCUUUGCUCGAAGAGCACUGCUCCGCACACAUUGAAUGUUCAAGAAAAGGACCACGGACUCCUAUCCCAGAGACUCAUAGACCCAGAGAAAUUCUGAAUUUACCACCAAAUGUGUAUUUCAGAACCAGAAAGGUGACCGGUUGCCCACCCCCAUAAGCAGGCUUUUAAGAAAGUAGAUUGGCCCUGGGAAGUUUGUAAAUCUUCAACUAGCUGUUGCCAUUAUCUUAAGGGAAGUAUUUACAGUGAGUAAACGGCGUGAAUAAUACCCUGGUAUGUGAUGAGGGGGAUGAUUUCCUGGUCCUGAGGUCGUUAACUGCGCUGCCCUAAGAAGGAAGAAACUGACUUCAUGGAGCAGGGUUGUUCUUUGCCAGUCAGUCAAGAGAAUUUUUUUUUUAAGGGUCAGACAUGCAGAGACGGCCCUUAGGUCAGAAGACAGGGAACCUCUCAGCCCUUGAGCUCCUCAGUCUGGAAGGGCACACAGAAAAAAGGCAGAGGGCAUGAUGAUAGAAGCUAUAAGGUGAGGAAACCGGGAGUGAGUAAGGGAGAGCCUUCCUGGGAAUGAACACUUCCUGGGAAGGGUGAACCGAAGACAAGGAGGAGCGGAAGUGUUUCGAAGAGCAGAAGCCACUUGUGCAAAGGCCAGUCAAUCCCACAGUGAGCUGAGCUUGCUGGGCGUCUUAGGCGGCAGAGCAGUGCUUCUAAUCCAGCUUGUGGUGUGUGAUUCCUCUUUUCCUGUAUGCAGUUUUAGGGAAAGUGAGCCUUUAGGGAAAGGCUCCUCUUACUGGCAUUUGGUUGUCCUUACAGGCCAUAAGUCCAAAUUUUAUAUGACUGGCUUUUUUUUUUCUAUUUUAAAACUUUUAAUGCUUUGUUAGUAUUAUCAAUUACGCAUAAUAAUAGGUUUCAUGAAAACAUUUUCAUACAUGGGUACAACAUAUUUAUCAUAUUCACUCCGCCAUUGCCCAUUUUUGUCACCCUCCACUUCCUCUGAACCCCUUCCUCUUGCCAGCUAGCCCCCUUCUGCACUGAUCCACCGGAAGGUCAGUGGACAACUUUUGGGAGUUGGUUCUCCUUCUACCACGUGGGUCCUAGGAAUUAACUAGGGUCAUUUAGUUUGGUAUCAAGAGCCUUUACUCACUGAGCCAUCACACCAGCACGAUUUUUUUUUUUAAUCCAAUGAGUUUUUUUGAGAGUUGUUUCAAGGAUCCUAUAUAGGUGAGAUGUUAAUUACAGGAGCAUGGCAAACUUACCAGCCGCUACACUACUGAAGAAAAUAUUUCUUUCUCCUCCAGCAACCAUUAACAAUACAUCUUUAGCCUCCCCACUAGGGCCUGUGACCUUCCCAGCCAUAUGCUUUUAAACAGAUUUACAGUAUCAGAUAUAAAUUCCCUCUUAUGGAGCAGGCCUCAAUUCUAGUCAGGAAGUGGUUGGUAACCACCAUUGCAGACUUCCACUAGUGCAUCAGCGGGUACACUUUACCUGGCAGGUCAGUAAUGUGCCAAGUAGAGACCACAGCCGAGUAAGACUACUGAUGACAAUUUUCCACCAGCAGUCUGCAUAGCACCUUCUGGAACUGAGGGCUAGCUAGCUGGAGGGAGCAUCCAGCUCUAUAUCACCUUGAUUUCUAUAUGUCCUGCAGUCUCUUCUCCGAACACACACACACACACACACACACACACACACACACACACACACUGUAUUUUGAUCAUACCCACCCCCUAUUACCCUCCCUUAUCACUCUCUCCCACUCCUACUGAGACUCUUCUUUUUCCCCCAAAGUCCCCAUCUGUGUGUCUGUGUGCCAUAGAGUUUAGUUAGGAUUGUGGGCUGGGAUUUAUUUACUGGAGCAACUUAACGGUGGCUGCACCACUGAAGAAAAUGAUUCCCCUCCCCCAGCAGCCAUUCCUUAACUGCCUAUAGCUCCUCAGAGAGGGGAGGGUUCUUGUGAGCCCCUCCUGGUCCAUGCUGGAAUGUUGACCCCCUUCAAUUGUGUGUCAGUAACCACAGCUGCUGUGAGUUCAUGAGCACAAAGGCCGUGUCAAGUCCAGCGGACAGCCUUUCCCAGCACCCUCCCCAUCCUUGGGCUCUUGCAUUCUUCCUGCCCCAUCCUCCUUGAAGUUCUCUGGACCUCAGAGGUAGUUGGUGUGCUUGUCUCAUUCAGGGCUGAUCACAUCUCAGGCCCAGAUCGCUCUUUGGCCAGUUGUGGAUCUCUACAUUAACCUCUGCCCACUGAAAAUGGAGCUUCUGACGGAGGCCGAGAGCAGCACUGCCCUGUGGGUUUAAACGUCUGCGUGUGUUUCUCCAGUGCAGGAUGGAAACACUACAGUGACUCUUCCUCUUUGUCAUUGGUCUUAAAUAACUGUUGACAACAUGUCUGUGACACGUUCAGUAAAUGCCAUUUCAUGCUUUUGAUGGGAAUUCAUAAUAGGUCUCCUACCCCUCUCGUUCCCGUUCUACACCGUUUAAUCUUAAUCUAAAGCAAAAACUGAAGCUUCUUGUUGUAGAAAACAAAGCAACAACCAAAACCCUAUCAAAGGCUUUGUUUUUUCUUACCAGUUACCAAGCUAGUGGACAUACAGUGAAGGUCGUGAAGAGUGUUACUAAUGGCUAGUGAAUAAAGUUCAAAUUCCCCAGCCAGGUAGGUGUGUUCAGGGUUGAGAUUGGACCCAGCCUCCCUCACAGUUCUCCUACUGUCCCCAUCAACCUGAUGUUAAGAGUGGCUUGGGGACCCAUACCUUUAAUCCCAGGACUUAGGAGGCAGCUACAGGCCAGUUUCUUCGAGCUUGGUCUAUAUGUCAAGUUCCAGUCCAGACAAGGCUACCCUGUCUCAGAAAAAAAAAAAAAAAUGUGGGAGGCUGUCUCAUUUCAUCAUCAUUCUUCUGUGGAUUCCUUCAGGGACAGCAAAUCUCAUGUAAUAUAGUCCUGAUUACUUUCUCCUAGAUAUUAUAUGAAGCCCUCCUAGUACUAUGGGAGAAUAACAGAGGGGUAGGCGAUUAGGUGUUUCACCUCCUACAGUCAGUGCUCUAACGAUGUCAGUAUGUCCAAUGCAUGAAUGAGUGAAGUCUUAACUCACUUCCUCUGCACUGCAGACUUGGAGCUUCCCUAUUUUGCAAUUUCUCACUUGUAAUUUGUUAUCAUAGCCGUCCAAAUGGCAGGCAUCGGAAUUGAAAACUUUAAUAACCCUCUAAUUAGACAUCCAAAGCUAGCUUUUUAUUUGAAAAAUAUCGGUGCUGAUGCCAGAUUCUUCUAAUUUCCCUUCUUCUCCAUUAACUCUAAUACUAAAUUGUUACUAAAGAUACAAAAACAAUUUCACUUGAAGUAGCAUUAAUCUUUCUUCCUAGGACAUCUUCCUGUUGCAGAGUUCAAAAUUAGUACACUGUUCUACUAAAGACUGUUCCAAGGCACCUUUAAUCCCAGCACUCAGGAGGCAGAGGCAGGCGGAUCUCUGUGAGUUUGAGGCCAGCCUGGUCUCCAGAGCGAAUGCCAGGAUAGGCUCCAAAGCUACACAGAGAAACCCUGUCUCAAAAAAAAAAAAAAAAAAAAAAAAAGUACACUGUUCCACUAAAGAAAGUUUCCUUUCUUCUUUCAUCUGAAAUCAUUUGUAAUUAAUCACUCCAUUUCUGAAUGAGCAUUUAAGGUUAUGAGUGUUUCCAACUGGUGCUGAAGAAAUCUUUACUGGUCAUUGUUUCCUUAAUAUAAAGCAUUUGGGAAAUCAAGUUUUACAGAUUGCUAAGAUUGACAUUGGAACUGCAAGACUGCUUGCUUUUUCAUCUCAUUUCCUCUCUGGCUCUUGCGCUGGGUUUUGAAUUCAUCUGGAGUUCCGCUGCUUUCUUCACAGGGUUUGGUAACUGCAACAAGGUUGCACCAGACAAGAUCUUACAGUCCACUUCCUUCCCCAUAUUAUUAAUGAAUGUGUUUAAAGGCUAUCCUCCGAUCUUUCCUCUAUUCUGAUGAGCAAUCAUUCACUACUUUGUCUUUUCUGAUUUCUUUACUAGUUUAAAACCCAUUCAUUUAUUUAAAUCAACUCAUUCAUGGUGGGUUGUGUAGGAAAAUUACCUGUCUCUUGAGAUAAAUACAUCCCGAUGCUAGGAACUAUUUCUAGAGCCUGUCUUGUCUGUUCCAGCCUAUUUCAGAAUCACUGACUAGCCUGUAACAUGAUCUGUGAGAGGUGUCUCCUGGGCAUAAGUUUUUUUAUUUUAUUUUUUAAUGUUUAUUUUUUUUUAUUUUACCUGUUUAAUGGGUGUUUUGCCUGCAUGGAUGUCUGUGCACCAUGUGAAUGUCUUGCACCGCUGUAGGAUUCCUUGGAACCAAAGUUAUACAUCUUUGUUAGCUAGCUUCCAUGUGAUCCUUCCAGCCUCUAUUUUUAUUUUAUUUUUGAAACAGGGCUCAUUAGGUAGGCCUGACUGGUCUGGAACUCUCAGAGAACCAGAGACUUCUGCCUCCUGGAUGCUGGGGUCAAAUGUGCUGAGCACCACGCAUGGCCCCCUGAGUUCCUGGCAUUUUUUGAUAAUUCAGGAGAAGAGGUAUGGACUUGCAUUUUAGAAUUUCAAUGUAGGUCAUGUUCAUAGAUCUUGCACAUCAAUGAAGCAGAAUAAUUUCUACUAGCCUGGUUGGGAAGCAAGUUUCUUUCAUCAGCGAUGAUUUGGCUUCUCUGUUCUUCUCAUCUGAAUACUUUGUGGAUUUCAGUUAUUCACUUGGCCUCUAAAUCCAGACAGCAUUUUUCUUUUUAGCAAAGCUGAGAUUGUGGGAUGUGAGGAAAGACCUUAAAUUCUCAGAGAACCUUUAAGAUUUUACUUCAGAACCGAACAAGGCUAUGAUUAAAAACUGGUCAAAAAUGUGGACAAACUUUUAUCCCGAAGGCUCCAGCUCACCUAUUUAAAAUAGUUUGGAAUAUGUUUGGCUCCUGGAGGAGGCUGUUAAAGGCCUGGCUGUGGGAACAUGAAGCCGCGUAUGCCCUUUGGCCAGAGUGACUUCAGGUGUCCUCCAGCUUCCUUCCUUUUGAAUUAUGAUGGCACAUUCCUCCCUCCUCCCGUGUAUUCUUCUUGUCACUUUUGACUGAUAAAACAACGGCUAUGAAACUGGAAAGUUGAGCAACUAUGCACUUGUUUCAUCUACUCUGUGCCAGGAAAUGUCUUUGUUUGGGAAGAUCUAUCCAUUCAUCAAAAUCCUGGAGACACACACCAGUGAUUCAGUCAGUAAGAGUCAGGCUAGAGUACCUCAGGCCACGCAGCCCCUACAAACCCAGCAGCCGUGUGAACUUCACGUCAUGGUCCAGCUGAGUCCCACACUCUUCAGAUACAGGUAGGGUCUACCAAUUCCCCUAUCAUUAACUUGGCUGGUGCACAUCUGCGUGGGCACCUUCAGGGAAUGCAGGCUAGAGAUCCACCUAGCUACAUUUGAGGAAAGUUCUAGGUCCCCUUGUUCCCCCCCUCAAUGCCUUGGGAAAACAAUGGAGUGGUAGUUGGUUAAAUGGUACCUUCUAAGUCUUCUAAAGUCUCAGCAAAAAGAAAGUGGAGUCAACAAAGAGCUGGCUAAUGAGACUGGAGAGAUGGCUCAGUGGUUAAGAGCAGUGGCCGCUCUUCCAGAGGACUUAGGGUUCUAUUCCCAGCACUCACGACAGCUCACAAUUGUCUGUAACUCCAGUUCCAGGGUAUCCAACACCCUUUUCAGGCCUCUUUGGGCUCCAGGCAUGCACAUGGUGCAUAGACAUAGAUGCAAGCAAAACACCCGUACCAUAAAAAUUUAGUUUAGAAAGAAAGAACUAAAGAGCUAACUCAAAGCCCCUCUUGCAACAAAGCCAGGAGUGGAGGAAAUACCAAUCAACAAUGAGGACCGAAAGUCAAGAAUUCAGACACAAGGGGAAUUCUUUGCAGUCUCUCUUCCCUCUACAAAACACAGGGAGUGGUGCUGGCUGUAAACGCUGAACCAGGCUCUUCCAGUGGGCCUAUGCAGGCCGACAGUCCAUGCCACACUAGACUCUUCAACACUGUCUGGCUUAAGUCAGUGUUUGUCACUGUUAUUCUCAUGCUACUGUGCUGGCUCCGAGCAGAGCUGACCCACAGGAUUGCUAGGAUUCAAGCCGAUGCUCCCUGACUGCCAAGCACAAUCCUAGUCAGUCCUCUUUGUUGCCAUCUUCAGAUGCUCCAUUGCCCACUGGGCGGUUUUCCAAUGGUGAGGACGGGGGGAGGGGGGAGGUCUGUUCUGGGAACCAGUCGUGCCUGAUGGACAGUGCAACUUCCAUGAUAUUUUUGAUGAGGAAAGACUGAAUGGGGGUGAGGGUUAGCCCCAGAGAAGCAGAAGAAGAGAAGUGUUUGAGGAGAGAAGUAGACAAGCUGCACCUGAGACUGAACAGGUCUCGAGGAAAGAGGACCCUGCUAGAGGGACAGGGAAGAUCCUGGGGGUUUGGGGUGUGGGGGAGGUGGCUAAUAGCCAGCAACUCUCAUAGCCAAGUGUAAGCUCUGUAUAGGCAACAGAACAAUUCUAUUUCCCCUGAUGCUACUUUUUUCCUAGCUCUAAGUGAAGUCUGGGGCCAUUCCCACCACCCUUUCAGCCUCUUGGUUGCCCCCAAUAUAUCAUGUCAGCAGUUUAAGCAUCUAGCUGAGGAUAACAGUCAUUAAACAUCCAGCUGAGGAUUACAGUCAAAGUUACAGCUUCUCCUCCCCUUUGAGUCAGGCCUGUCGCCAGCUAGGAGGCUAGCUGCAGAGUUGAGGUAGGAUCUUGCUGACUUCUUGCCUUUUUUGUGACCUCUUUUUGUCCUCGCUGAGAUUGCCAUCUCCUCUGGGGGAGGCAGGGUGCAGAAGAAGAGGGGUAGAAGAAUGGCUCAGUCAUAGAUGGCAUGUCCUAGUAAGACCUGGCAUUGCUGCUUAGAGUUAGUGCUCUGAGUAGUGUCCAUGUUUCAUGUACCAAUGAUGGAGGUUGCCUGGAUGUUGUUCUGAACUGCAGUUCUAGCCCCGUCUAUUCCAUUUACCAGCUGACCAUUGCCAACACACGUCUCCCGCAUUUCCCGAGCCUACACUUCAGCUCCUGGACUUUCUCAGCCCACCGUUCAGCCCGUGGAAGCACUCCCCAGGACAUUUCCUCUUCUCUGCACUCUCCUCUACCUUUUCUGUCAUCCAGAGCACGAGCUUCAGCUUCCUGCUGUGGGAUUCCUCCAGUCUUUCAUACUCCAGUGACAUCUCAUGUUUUGCAAGAGACUAGCAAGUUGUCUAACACUAGCCCCAGAGUUGGCCUCAGACUCUUGCAAAUCGUGAGCAGGGGUCCUUCAUACAUACUGGGGAAUAAGGAGGCAGCUAUUGCACUGUUCUGUUGCAGGCAAAUGAAGAGGGGAGGUUCACCUUGCCACUUAUCACCCCAGACACCAGAAGAAAGCACUGCACUACCAACGGAGGUUCUUUGGGGAGGUAUGGUGGUGCCAUGGUGGGUGGUCCAGAGACCCUGUCAGAUUUUGUUCUAAGAGAAAGUCUAGGAAAGUUCAUACAUGAGAAGUUGAUUCUUGUCAGUUGUUUUGUAAAAUGUCCCUGAAUUUCUGUCACAUGUUUUUGGCCUAAGAGCAGCCUUGUUAAGAUUAAAGUCCUCCUGCUCACAGCUGGGAUGCAUGUACAUAACUCAGUUUCCCACGGAGUACAAUUAUAGCCAGGUGAAACUUUGAUUCAUAGAAAGAUGAGGAAGAAGGCAGGGCUGGAGAAGGCUACAUUGAAGGUGAAGUUAUGAUGUCUCAGAGAGACCUCAGGCAGUAGAGGCCACUGUUCUUGCACAGACCACAGUGUCUGUGCACACUGGCCAUGUAAACUGGGUAUUGUUCUUGGCUGGUAAGUUUUGCAGUUUGACUCUUUGACUCUCUGAGGGAUUCUUAGUUACCUAACACAUUUCAAGCAGUCAUUUCUUAGUAAGAAGGGGUUUCAGCUGCUUCAAGUAAAGUGAGGUACAUCCCUGCACUCUCUGUGUUGAUGUGCAAAGCUGUCUGCAAUCCCCUAAAUGAGCCUAGUGUCUCUAUACAGGGCACUCCUGUGUCCAUACCAUUUCCUCUGUACAACUUUCCUCCAAGUCCUGUCCUUCAUGGGCACAGUUAGGAGACCUUGGGCUGUAACUAACAUAGAAAUGUUCAGAAAUGUCUUAAACAAUUACACUUUUUUUCAUAGAGAAGAAAUGUUUACCGUUACAAAAAUUAGAAAAAGAACUACCAUACAAUUCUACACAUCUGGUAAAAGGAUUGAAAGCAGAGUGUUCAUUAAUCUCCACAGAAGCAUCAUUCACAGUAGCCAAAAAGUGGAAGCAACUAAGCACCCACUAAAAGAUGAAUGGAAAAACAAAGUUUAGUGUAGACAUACAACGGAAUAUUACUCAAUUGUAAAAGAGAAGGAAGUUUUGACACAUGCGAUAAUAUGGACACACUUCAAGGACAUUGUGCUAAGCAAAAUAAGCUAGUUACAAAACACAAACUGUGAUUCUACUUAUAUGUGGUGCUUAAGGGGUUCAAGUUCAUACAGACAGAAAUAGAAUGGGAUUUUCAGGAACUGGUGAAGAGAGUACUAGGGAGUCACUGUCUGAUGGGUAGAGGUUGAGGUUUUUUUUGCAUGGAAAGAACUCUGAAGUGGAUAAUAGUAAAAGUUGUAAAACAAGGUGAAUGUCCUCAGCUACUGAACUAUAUACAUGCUUACCGAUGUUAAGAUGAUGAUCUUAGAAACAAUUUUAUUUUGUGUGUGUAAAUUUUUUGCCUGAAUGUGUGUGUGUAUAGUGCAUGCAAAGGCGAGGGGGAGGUGUUAGAUCCCUUGGAAUUGGGGUCACAGGUGGUUAUGAGUCACCACAUGGUUGCUGAGAACCAAACCUGGGUCCUCUGAACGAGCAGCAUAGCCAUCUCUCUGGGCCCGGGCCCGGAGAACACAUUUUAUGUUAUAUGCAUUUAUCAUAGUGGGGGGGGGAGAAUGAAAGAAAGAAAGGAAGGAAAGAAAGAAGGAAAGAAAGAAAGAAAGAAAGAAAGAAAGAAAGAAAGAAAGAAAGAAAGAAAUCAUUAAGGUUGUGGGUGCCCCUGGGGAGUUAACAUCUUCCUAAUCUUAACGUUUGUUUCAUAGUCACAAGAUGGCUAUUGUAGCUGGAAAUACCUGCAUCUGAUCUUGGAGUACUCUGACCAGGAUUUCCUACUGAAUCAUUCUGAAUGUGUCAACUGUCUUAGUCUAAUCAUUGUUAAUGGGCCCAAAGACAGGCACAUCAUCAUCAGAUAACCAGCACUGCUUGUUACCAGGUAUUCUGGACCAAAUCAAUGUUUUACUGUGAGAGAGUGGAUCACUAUCCAUGAAGUCAGAGAGUUCUGUCCACCACAGCAUGUCUUCCAACUAUAUUGCCUGUGUUCAACUGAAAAUAUUUCAAUCCAUUUACCAUCCCAAACUUAAUUUUCUGAAUCUGCCCCAUAGACCUGCCUUUUUCCUUUGGGCUAGUAUAAGACCCUGGCUACACAGACAUUGCCUGCAGUGCUCAUAGAAAACUCAUAAGUCCUCUUUGUUCAGCUGUGUGUGCAGUUCUCAAAAACUGGAUAAUACUGUGACUUUGGCUCAGAAGUGCUUGGGAAACAAAACGGACAGAGGAGGCAUCAACUAAACGUUUAAGAAUGAGUGGAUGAACAAAGACAUGAGAUGGGAUGCUCAGAGAAACUGCUAACAGAUGUGCCAGAACUCUGAGCUUACAGAUGAGCUAAGAGAGACCAGAGCUCAUCCCAGAGCCAGAGGGGUCAAGCAAGAGCUUUGCUGAAAGUUUAGGGGCAGAAGGAAGGCAAAGUGUCAGAAGUCAGGUGAGAAAGAAGAAAGGGAAAGAGGCAAGAUCUGUGGUUAGUCCUCACCCUGGGUUGGGCUAUGUGUCACAAGCAACUCAUAGUUGGUAGAGUGCAGAGGAAGACAGGAGCUCUCUGGCCACACACUGUUGUUAACAGUGGCUUGGAUCUAAACAUCUUCCGUUUUUGUGGGUUGUUGCAGAAUGUAGGAAAGUGAAUACAAAGCUGUAAGCCACUUUUAGACUUAUGAAAAAAAUCUCCAGGUAGCCUUAUCAUUCUGUGGCUACAAAUGAAUCCAAAGUUGUCCAACUUGCCACUACCUGCUCAAAUAAUUCAAUCUCUCCUCAGUUAUUGCUUCCCAGGAGGGCCAUGGGGUUGCCCUUGGCAUCUUGGGGUUGGGUUAUAUGGCACGAGGUAGAUGGAAUGGCUAUGUUCUUCCUUCCCAGCUCUGGCUUCUUGUGUCUCAUAAUAGGACUCUCACUGUUUUGUGAUGCCUGCUAUGAGGUCAAGACCCAAGCCAAGAGCAUCAUGUUUCAGAACCCAUGGGGCAUCCAGGUAACAGAAAAAGCUGGCAAGAAUGGUUACUCUUCCAUUUCUAGGCCCAAAGUAGCACUGUGUAUGCUGGAAAACUUAUAAAACAGUUAACAGCUCUAAGUUUUCCCUCGUUCACCAUCAGGACUACACUAGUCUAAAAUGCUAGGCUACAGGUGUGACUUUCGUGUCAUUGUCAAAGCAACCAAUAUCCUUCAACUUCUCCCUUUUGUAUUCCAGUCUCCUUGGUAGCUAGGGCUGGUUAUAUGACUCAGUGAGACUUGAGAGUGAGUUUACUUUGAUCUUCCAAAAGUCUUUGCUUUCUCCACUAGAAAGGACACAUAGACUGUAACCAUUUCUCCUAUGGCCCUGCCAUCUUCCUUUGUUGAACAAGGAUAAAUGCCUAAAAAUCCCACAGCCAUCUUGUGAUCACAAGGAAAAAGCUUAAGAGAGCCCUGACUAGCCGGGCAGUGGUGGCGCAGGCCUUUAAUCCCAGCACUCAGGAGGCAGAGGCAAGGGGAUCUCUGUGAGUUCAAUACCAGCCUGGUCUACAAGAGCUAGUUCCAGGACAGCCUCCAAAGCCACAGAGAAACCCUGUCUCUAAAACCCACCCGCCUCCAAAGAAAGAGAACGCUGACUCCAGUGCUUUUGGAGAGAGACAGAGACAAAGGGACAGAGAGAGACUGACUGCUCUCUGUCUAGGCCACCAGAUGUCAGUUAUUGAAGCCAGAGGCAUGCUCCUCUUGGUUACACCUUUAACUCUUGCACAUCAUGUGCUGAUGCUGUGACCCCCAUCUCAUAGGGGCCAAGUUGUUCAUUCACAAAUCACCUGAUGGACAGUGGUCCGGAGUCAUCAAGAGUGGCCUUGCCUGCUGUUGGUUGUUGCUGAAGGAAAGAGGGUCUGGAAUUAAACAGGAAUUCUUCCACAUUAAUGGUUUUUAUGAACCCAGUGUCUAUCUGUAUUACCAGAUAAGAACUGAUAUGAGGGACUAGUGAGGUGACCCAGAAGGUAAAGACACCUACCACCAAGACUGACAAUUUGAGUUUGAUUUCCAGGACCUACCUGGUAGGAGGAGAGAAAGCACUCCCCAAAGUGCUUGUCUGACCUCCACAAGUACCAUGUGCUCUCCAUCCCCCACCUUUUGUGAUCUUUCACACAUAUGCACACAUCAAAUAAAUAUAAUAAACUUUUUUAAAAAACUAA